GAAAAAGUCAGCCGUCGUUAUUUGUAUUUUUUAAGGUGAGGUGUCGGUCUCCUUCGAUUCAUGUGUCUUUAAAUCCCCGCAGGACAUUGGUGAGGAGGAGAGAGGAGUCGAGGCUCGUAAUGGCUGAAAUGGAGAAUCCUACACAGCAAGAAGUCUGCAGGAUGAUAGGCUAUUGCACAUUGGUCCUGUGUCUCAUACCACAGGUGACAUGGGUUAUAAGCAAGGGGAUCCCGAAACCAUAUACGUCAACAAAGUCGGUCCUUACCACAACCCGGAACCCCAGGGAACUUAUCAUUACUACAUGUUGUCUGUUUGCAGGCCAAGAGUGUGGGAGAAGUGCUUGAUGGAGAUCGGAUGACAGAGUCCCUGCAUAAAAUCAAAUUCUGGGAGAAUACAGAGAAAAACAAGUCACUGCCAGCUAAGUCUAACAGAGAAAGAGGUGGACCAGCUCCGAGAGGCCACAGAGGAGCCGCGCUACUUCGAGUUUGUCCUGGAUGACAUUCCCAUCUGGGGCUUUGUGGGGUACAUGGAGGAGAGUGGCUUCCUGCCUCAAAGUCAUAAGGAGGGUGGGGCUGUGGACACACCUGGACUUCAACAUCAUCCUCGUGUUAUACGCCUGCAUCUCGGCGGUGCUGUACUACGUGGGGCUGCGAGCAUUACACCCUGUGUAGCAUCAUCCUCGUGUUAUACGCCUGCAUCUCGGCGGUGCUGUACUACGUGGGGCUGCGAGCAUUACACCCUGUGUAGCAUCAUCCUCGUGUUAUACGCCUGCAUCUCGUCGGUGCUGUACUACGUGGGGCUGCGAGCAUUACACCCUGUGUAGCAUCAUCCUCGUGUUAUACGCCUGCAUCUCGGCGGUGCUCACCUACUUCAUUCGCUACAUCAAAUCAAACUUUAUUUGUCACAUGCGCCGAAUACAACAAGUGUAGACCUUACCGUGAAAUGUUUACUUACAAACCCUUAACCACCC
Oncorhynchus kisutch (coho salmon) is the source of this 970-nucleotide long non-coding RNA. RefSeq lists it as uncharacterized. The record is from RefSeq and is a predicted model, not a curated record. The transcript is spliced from 5 exons. Lineage: Eukaryota; Metazoa; Chordata; Actinopteri; Salmoniformes; Salmonidae.